Molecule: ribosomal RNA, 324 nt
Filed under: uncultured bacterium
Lineage: Bacteria
Description: bacterial SSU rRNA
Rfam family: Bacterial small subunit ribosomal RNA
Source: RNAcentral
GAUGAACGCUGGCGGCGUGCUUAACACAUGCAAGUCGAACGGAACUGUUUGAAUGAAGUUUUCGGAUGGAUUUUUAAACAGUUUAGUGGCGGACGGGUGAGUAACGCGUGGGUAACCUGCCUCACACUGGGGGAUAACAGUUAGAAAUAGCUGCUAAUACCGCAUAAGCGCACGGCUCCGCAUGGAGCGGUGUGGAAAACUCCGGUGGUGUGAGAUGGACCCGCGUCUGAUUAGCCAGUUGGCGGGGUAACGGCCCACCAAAGCGACGAUCAGUAGCCGGCCUGAGAGGGUGAACGGCCACAUUGGGACUGAGACACGGCCCAA